Molecule: non-coding RNA, 1527 nt
Organism: Schizosaccharomyces pombe (fission yeast)
Lineage: Eukaryota; Fungi; Ascomycota; Schizosaccharomycetes; Schizosaccharomycetales; Schizosaccharomycetaceae
Source: the annotation of a GenBank genome assembly
CAAGAAAAGGUCCUAACAUUAGCGCUUUAUAUGCAUAUAUUAUAAACCAUACAGCGCUAUUGAGAUAUAAAAAAAAACAAAUAAGACAAGAAGAACUCAGUAACGUUCUCAAAGACGUUUAAAACUCGAGUCAUAAAGUCCCUUCUGCUUUGGUCCUUCAAAAUUAAGACAAGCUAUCUACUCGUUAUUUUUAGUUCUAACUUAUCACAUAAAUAUAUACAUUUAAAAUUAUUGAAAUAAUAUUCUUGACUUGUUAGAUAUAUAACGUACAUUAAAUCAUCAUUACGGGACCAGCUCGCCAAAAGUUUGCUAUACUUAGUCUAACAUAAAUAUUUCACUUUUCAAAAUUUACGUUUCUUUCCUGAAGCCACGAGUGCAGAGUGUCCAAAGAUACAUAAACACCGUGCUUUAAAAGUAUUUCGAGAAGGUCGUUUGAGGAAAUACGUAGGGCAUUUGAAUUUUUCCAUAAAUAAUGAUACAACUUUUUUCCACCAGGGCUUCGAAAGAACGUUGAAAUAUUAGAAGAACACAUUACUUGAGGAACCAGGAGAUUAUCAGCAACUUUCUUUUCAUCGUGUUCGCAAUUAACUAUCGGAUCGGACUCAAGGGUGGUAAAAGACUCUUCUCCAGAAUCAGAGGUUGGAAAUACCGACAUACCAAAACAAGAACCAGCUUGUUCAAUAUCAUAGCGAUUAUCAUCAUCGAUACGGGUGCAUACUCCUCUCAACAUGUUUAACUCCCCACUUAUCGAAGGUACUUGUUGGGACAAUAAGUCACCCUCAUUUCCAAUUAGGUAAUAGACAUUAGUUCUAAAUGAUGAUAUCCAUAAGUAAGGCGUAAUUUGACAACCGAUAUUGCUGUGGUGGAACCCAGGUUCGACAUUCAUGAGUUCAUCAGACAGAGGAAACUUUGGCUUAUGCCUUUUAGCAAUAGAAAUAGCAAUUUCUGGAUGAACAACUUUGGACUUAAAUUGUCUCUUACUAACACGAACUCUAGAAUCUUCUGAAACAGAAGCCGUCAUAAGUAACGGCUUUUUCUUGGGAAUGGUAUGGCCAAAGCUUAAUGGGGUCAAGCUUUCUGAAUGCAAUUGAUCAACGGAAUUAUUUUUUUCUUCAAAAUAUUUGGUAACUCUUGAUGUAAUACUGUUAUAAGAAACCUUCGAUUUAGAAGAACGAAUGUGUGGUUUCUCAACUUUAGUAAAGUCAUGAAUAUUAGCAUUAUCCUUUUUCAGGAAAGAAUGCAGCGUUUUCUGUCGCGGUGCUGCAUGGACUUUCAUCUGGUAUCGAAACCGCUGAACCUUCUCUGCAAAACUUUGCGCAGCAUCAUUUUCUUCAACAUUAACGUCGUUUAAAUUUAAAGAGGGUGCUGUUUCACCUUUAGAUUCAAUCAUUUUUCUUAACUUAGAUUUUAAACAACGCAGCACACUUCGUCGAUGGAUUUAUAAGCAUCCAAAGACAUUUGCUUCUUGUCUUACAAAAAAUAGAAAAAGAAAAUAUAUUUUAAUCACAAGAGUCAAGGUUAACAAAG